AAUUGAUAUGUUCCGUCUACAUAUUACAAACAUUUGGGAAGGGCAUAAAAUAAAAGUGAAGAAAUGCUUCUUCUUCUUCUUCAUUGCCUUUUGCCUCUGAUGCUUUCGUUCCGAUUCGGGAACCAAUUGUUGUCUUCUUUCUUUUC
Non-coding RNA from Caenorhabditis elegans, 146 nucleotides. NCBI's taxonomy places the organism in Eukaryota, Metazoa, Nematoda, Chromadorea, Rhabditida, Rhabditidae. The record is from Ensembl.